GCAACGCGAAUAGCAGCUAUGGGAAGAUGGCGUCCUGCGGUGGCACGAGUUUUCAGCGGAGGGUGCGGAGCCAACGGGUGCCUGGGACUCGGCCGUCGCUGCGGAAUGGGCAGCUGCUAGUGUCGACUGGGGUGCCGUCUCUGGAUCACAUUAUAGGAGGCGGUCUGGCAGUUGGAACUCUUCUUCUUAUUGAGGAGGAUAGCUAUGAAAGUUACUCACGGAUGUUGCUGAAGUAUUUCUUAGCAGAAGGCGUUGUUAGCCGGCAUUCUCUUUUCAUAGCAUCUGCCAAAGAUCAUCCUGAAGAAAUUUUACAGGAGCUUCCUGCACCCUUGCUUGAUGAUGUAAUAGGGACCAAUGAAGCUAUCAGAGAGACAGAAGACAAUUCGGGGAAUAGCAAUAAUUCUACCACUGCUGCCCAGAAUUCCAUGACAAUAGCAUGGCGGUACCAAAACUUACCAAAAGUACAGACAGCCCUGACAUCCUCCUCAAGAUUUGGCCACUAUUAUAAUGUAUCCAAAACAAUGAGUACCGAGCUCCAACAAUCAGUCAAGUGCCAUGGAUUUUUCCUACCUGAUGAAGUUCCAUUGGAUUUAACAGUGAUUGAGUGUGGUAAUAUGAACUUUGGUUAUGUCAGGCUGCUUAAAUCCAUACAAAGAGUCAUCCGUGAGGAAGGAUUUGAUGGAGUCUGUCCCCAGGCUAAGAAGAGGAAUAUCCUGCGGAUAGGAAUCCAUUCGCUUGGCUCACUGUUGUGGGGAGAGGACAUUGGUCUUCAUGAAAAUGCCAAACAUGCUUGCAGUCUGACCAAAUUUUUGUAUGCACUCCGUGGACUUCUCAGAACAUCUCUGUCUGCCUGCAUUAUUACUGUACCGGCAUACCUCAUUCAGAACAAAGCAAUUAUAGGCCGUGUGAUAAAAUUGUCAGACACAGUGAUUGGUCUUGAAUCAUUUAAUGUUUCUGAAAGAGAAAGCAAUCCACUCUAUAAGGACUAUCACGGUUUGCUCCAUGUUCGUCAGAUUCCUCAACUUAAUAGUUUAUUCUGUGAAAUGCCUGAUACAAAGGAUCUUGCUUUCAAACUGAAACGAAAAUUGUUCACUAUUGAGAGACUGCAUUUGCCUCCAGACUUGUCAGACACAGUGAGCCGAUCAAGCAAACAGAAUCUGGCGGAAUCAGCCAAACUGCUGAGCACAGGAUGUGGUGGUGCAGCCAGAGGCAAGGAGCACCUGGACUUCUAGUGACUUUUAUUUAACCAUUUCGUUCUGAAUUCUCAUCAUAUGCAAAGUGUGAUUACAAAUCUUUGAUUCUAGCAAUUGCAGUGUUUUGCUUUUAUGAAUCCAUGAGCUUGAGUCUCAGUAGCCGAAGAGGCCUGAAUGUCAAUGGUUGAAUUGAAAUAAGACCAAGAUUUUGUCGGAGACCAGAUUUGGAGGUGUGCUGGUACUUCAGAAGACUGCAGGCAGUGAUAAACAGAUAGACAGUGCUGAAGGUGUUCUGCGCUUUUGGAGGUAUUAUUUUUCAGAUGCAAUGUUAAACCAAGGUCCAACCAGUUUGCUUGGGUGAAUAUAAAAGAUCCAGUGCCACUAUUUUGAAGAGAAGUAGAGGAAUUAUCCUGGUGUACUCAUCAACGCUUAUCUCUCAAACAACUGUGUAAAACAAAAGACUGAUAGGUCAUUUUUCACAUUGCAGUUUUUAAGAUUUUGCUGAGUGUGAAUUGUCUGCCAUCAUUUCAUUGUUACAACAGUAACAAAUAGAAGUAUUCCUAAAAAUACAUUAAUGACUUGAGGCCGCUUUUAAACUCCCAAUGCAAUAUAAGUGCACUUUUUUUUUUGAUUCCCUGCUAAUAUUUCAAUCAGACACUUUUACAUCUCUGCACCAAGUAACACAUUCCUUAUAUGGAAUCAAACUUCACAAGACCGGCUAGAAACCUUUAAGAUUGAUAAACUAUUUCACUAAAAGAUUAAUCAGUUUCAGGUGAAACUUUUCAUCCAUGUAGUAAUAUGGGUAAAAUGCACAACUGAGGCCGGAGAUCAAUUAAAAUUUCAGAACUGAGACUGUUAGAUUUUUGUGAGACAGAAUGUCUAUUACCGAUAUUUCUAUUUCAUUAUAAUACUUAAUUUCCAAUAAUAGGAGAAAAACAACUAACUAUCCCAUUUAAGUUAAAAAUAAUUAUUUCAUAUUUCUUUUUGAGUUCAUCCCAAAGAGUGUCCUGUUCUCACUGAGAUAGACUGUGGACAUUGAAGUUUUUUUUUGUUAUUUGGGUGUUGGCUCAGAGGGAAGGCAAUUGUGGUUUUGCUUUGGUGCAGACUGCAUCUCACUGGAUUGAGAGACCCACCAAGAGAUGAUCAUUAAUCAGGCCUGAGUUUAAGCAGAAAAAAUGCCUGUAUCAUUCAUAGCACAAAAUGCAGUUGGGGCUCAGUCUCAGUUUGGAUGCCCUGAGGAGAAAUCCAGCUGGAGGAUUUACAAUGUUGGUAGCUCAAAGAACUAAUCCAUAGAGGUCCUCACAGAGCCUUGUGGCAGAAGGUAGUUAGUAAAUUUAGCUUGGAAGCUGUGAGAAGGCAGUUUCAUGCCUGCCAAUUACCUGAAUAAGGAAUUGGGGUAUCUAUGGCCAUGAAGUACAAGAUAAACAUCAGAAGGUCGGUUUACCAGAAAUCUAAUGAAAGGAUCACCGCAAAAUGUUACCUCUGUGAAUGGCUGAGAAAUUAAGACAAAAAUAGAUGAAGCAAAGGAAAAUUAAAGUUGACGUCCAGAGGCUCUAGUAUACCUUGUGAGUUGGUCCCUAAUGGCACGCCAAUCAAGACAAAACAGAACAAUUGUUAAAUUACUGGAGAAUAGCUAUCAAAACCUGAGCUAAAUACAAAUUAAAGUGUGCACUUUUUGACAGAUAGCUGUUAUCCUAAAAUAUAAUUUAACUUUGGUGUCAACACACCAAUCCUUAGGAUGUACAAUACAAUCCUUACACUAUUUCCGUGUCAUUUGAUAAUGUUCUGAAAGUCUAUUAGCAUAACCAUCGUCAACACCAGAGAAACAGUCUCAAACCAAGUAGUGAAGUUACCUAUAAUUUAGAUGUUAAGCAUUUGAACCAAGUUUUUAAAACAUACUGUGAAUAUAAAUUUCACACUUUGUUUGAAAUUCUUUAUUCAAAAUGUUAUUUAAAUCAUUUUAGUGGAAUCAGAAUCAUAUUACCUAAGUAGGGGAUUUUUUAACGUCUAAUCAUAAGGGAUACUGAGAAGUUGAAGCAGGCUAGUGUAGGGGUUCGAUUCAAUAUCCUUUUGAGUAUUGGUCUAUGCAGUACGUACUUGAAUUGUAGUUUUAUUGUGAAGUAGCUAUUUGUUCCUUUGUGAUCAUUCUUUCAAAUAACAUCUAAAAUGCUCGAGAACUACCUGUUCGAAGAUUUUGAUGCCGAAACCAAUAAAUUGACCUGGUGUUUGAAAUGGCCUCUGUUUGACUAUCUCUGUCUUUAUCUCUCCAAUUUCCAACUACGCUUGUGUUCCCUUGCUUCAACUUCGAAAUGAUGUCAUAUGUCCAUGACUUCAACCCAGCGUCAGUGCCAUUCUUCCUUUACAAAAAAAAUAAGAUGCGAAGUUCCUUGCAACUAUAUGUUUUUGAUAAUAAUGGGAACCGUUGGAUAAUGGUUUUCUCGCCAAGUUUCCUGAACAAUAUUUAACUCUCAAUCAACGUUGCUGAAAGAGAUUAGUUGGUCUCAGUGCUGUUUCUGCGACUCUUGAUUUGGGACUACAAAGUUCAAACGCAUUUCAUUGACAGUAAAGCGCUUUGGUUUUUUUUAAUAUUGCAGCAAACAUCUGCCACUUGGAGGGCACACUCGGCAGACAGCUCAUACGUUUGAUUUUACGGUGGCAACGGAGUAGAGGCCUGAACUCCCGAGAACAGUUCUUCCUUUAAUGGUAGGCGAGAGAAGUAUCUACCUUUCUCUGAACUUGAAACAUCUCAUAAAAGGGCAUCAAGAGGUCUGUCCUCCAGCACGGACGUUUUUGAAAUGCGCACUUGUUUUGAAUAAGGCUCCACUUUCAAUUGGAGUGGAGGACAGAUUAAUUCAUGCUUGAUUCCAUUGAGCUGACGUGUCGGCUAAAUUGUACUUGACAUUUACGCGAAUCUGGCACCUGUACUUCCAAUAUAGGAUGUGGUUUCAACAAACGAUGACUAUACUUGUGAGACAUCAAAGCAGGCAGGAUUGAAGAUUAAAUGUUGCCACGUACUAACUUGCAGGUUCAGAGUCCAAGGUGACAGUGCCCCAAGGAAUCUCGCUCGUUUAGACCCAAUUAAAUCAUCGCUCUGGAUUCUUAAACUGCUCAAUACUUCCAAUGAACCAAUGCAUUCCAAGAAUCAGUCGUAUACCAGCAGCGCCAUGAUCUAGCAACGAAGGUUAUGCCACAUGAACUAACUUUUCAAAGGGGAAACAAAACGGUGACUAUCAGUACCAGCGGUUGUGCGAGUAUUUUAAAAUGGUCCAUUUCCCAACAUUCACUCCAUCCUAUUGCAUAACCUAAACCUAAUCUGAUUGAAAGCAAGCCACAUGAAGCCAUCACUCAACUCACAGAGAGCUUCCUGCCCAAAGACGAAUCAAAUGUAUUCAAAAUCGAAACAAAAACUGAAAAUAUUGGAGAUAAUGGGAACUGCAGAUGCUGGAGAAUCCAAG
Molecule: RNA transcript, 4648 nt
Organism: Stegostoma tigrinum
Lineage: Eukaryota; Metazoa; Chordata; Chondrichthyes; Orectolobiformes; Stegostomatidae
Gene: elp4
Gene name: elongator acetyltransferase complex subunit 4
Exons: 12
Source: RefSeq, a predicted model, not a curated record